RNAcentral lists this ribosomal RNA (474 nucleotides) under Pleuromamma xiphias. RNAcentral's name for it is "partial 12S ribosomal RNA". Lineage: Eukaryota; Metazoa; Arthropoda; Copepoda; Calanoida; Metridinidae. The record is from RNAcentral.
CUAUUAGCCGUGUUUAUUUAUUGUUAGUAAAAAUUGAGUCUUUAAGACAAAAUAGGCGUCUAAACCCUAUUUCUGACCAGAACGACUCAGGGGCCGAUUAUUAAAAAUUUCUAGAAAACAGGGGUUAGACGUCCUUUAUUCCUAAGGUUAUUUAAAGCAGGUAUUAAAAAUGAUAUUUCUAAACCUAAACAAAGUGGCAGUGGUUUAUUCCCGGCAGAGAGGCUUGAGCCAUAAUUCGAUAGCCCUCUUUUUAUCUUACCGGUAUUUAUUUUUUGUGUGGCUGUUUUAAAGUCGGGGCACUCCUAAUUUAAGCUCAAGUUUUAUGAAAAAACAUACCGGGGAGUUUUAGCCACAGUAAUAGAAUUAUUAUAGCAGCUCAGAAGGGUGUAGUGAAUUUGCGAGUAGUCUAUGCCUUAAGAAAGCAGGGCGAAGAGGUUAUAAACCAAGUACAUAUUGUCCGUCACUCUCUCCUUA